This 453-nucleotide ribosomal RNA is filed under the name uncultured bacterium. RNAcentral describes it as "bacterial SSU rRNA". It matches the Rfam family "Bacterial small subunit ribosomal RNA", at positions 335 to 780 of the family's 1533-position model. The record is from RNAcentral.
ACUCCUACGGGAGGCAGCAGUGGGGAAUAUUGCACAAUGGGGGAAACCCUGAUGCAGCCAUGCCGCGUGUGUGAAGAAGGCCUUCGGGUUGUAAAGCACUUUCAGUAGGGAGGAAGGUAGUGUAGUUAACACCUGCAUUGUUUGACGUUACCUACAGAAGAAGCACCGGCUAACUCCGUGCCAGCAGCCGCGGUAAUACGGAGGGUGCGAGCGUUAAUCGGAAUUACUGGGCGUAAAGCGCAUGCAGGCGGCCUGUUAAGUCAGAUGUGAAAGCCCGGGGCUUAACCUCGGAAUUGCAUUUGAAACUGGCAGGCUAGAGUCUUGUAGAGGGGGGUAGAAUUUCAGGUGUAGCGGUGAAAUGCGUAGAGAUCUGAAGGAAUACCAGUGGCGAAGGCGGCCCCCUGGACAAAGACUGACGCUCAGAUGCGAAAGCGUGGGGAGCAAACAGGAUUA